CUUCGGCCCGAGUUGUAAUUUGCAGAGGAUGUUUAUGGUGCGGUUCCUACCGAGUUCCCUGGAACGGGACGCCACAGAGGGUGAGAGCCCCGUCUGGUAAGAUAUCAAACCUGUGUUAAACUCCUUCAACGAGUCGAGUAGUUUGGGAAUGCUGCUCUAAAUGGGAGGUAAAUCUCUUCUAAAGCUAAAUACCGGCCAGAGACCGAUAGCGCACAAGUAGAGUGAUCGAAAGAUGAAAAGCACCUUGAAAAGGGGGUUAAACAGUACGUGAAAUUGUUGAAAGGGAAGCGUUUAUGACCAGACUUGUGCCGUGUGGCUCAUCCGAGGUUCUCCYCGGUGCACUCCACGCGGCUCAGGCCAACAUCGGUUCUUGUUGAGGGAUAAGAAUAGUAGGAACGUAGCUCUCUUUGGGGAGUGUUAUAGCCUAUUAUACGAUACCUUGACGGGGACCGAGGACCGCGCUUCGGCUAGGAUGUUGGCGUAAUGGUCAUUAGCGACCCGUCUUGAAACACGGACCAAGGAGUCGUCCAUUAAAGCGAGCGUUUGGGUGUAAAACCCGCACGCGUAAUGAAAGUGAAAUUAGGUGAGAGCUUCGGCGCAUCAUCGACCGAUCCUGAAGUUUACGGAUGGAUUUGAGUAAGAGUUUUAACGGACGGACCCGAAAGACAGUGAACUAUGCUUGAAUAGGGUGAAGCCAGAGGAAACUCUGGUGGAGGCUCGCAGCGGUUCUGACGUGCAAAUCGAUCGUCAAAUUUGAGCAUGGGGGCGAAAGACUAAUCGA
This 781-nucleotide ribosomal RNA is filed under the name Gnomonia fimbriata. Its description in RNAcentral is "partial large subunit ribosomal RNA". Lineage: Eukaryota; Fungi; Ascomycota; Sordariomycetes; Diaporthales; Gnomoniaceae. The record is from RNAcentral.